GUUGAGGAAGAUAAUGACGGUACUCAACAAGGAAGUGACGGCUAACUACGUGCCAGCAGCCGCGGUAAAACGUAGGUCACAAGCGUUGUCCGGAAUUACUGGGUGUAAAGGGAGCGCAGGCGGGAAGACAAGUUGGAAGUGAAAUCUAUGGGCUCAACCCAUAAACUGCUUUCAAAACUGUUUUUCUUGAGUAGUGCAGAGGUAGGCGGAAUUCCCGGUGUAGCGGUGGAAUGCGUAGAUAUCGGGAGGAACACCAGUGGCGAAGGCGGCCUACUGGGCACCAACUGACGCUGAGGCUCGAAAGUGUGGGUAGCAAACAGGAUUAGAUACCCUGGUAGUCCACACUGUAAACGAUGAUUACUAGGUGUUGGAGGAUUGACCCCUUCAGUGCCGCAGUUAACACAAUAAGUAAUCCACCUGGGGAGUACGACCGCAAGGUUGAAACUCAAAGGAAUUGACGGGGGCCCGCACAAGCAGUGGAGUAUGUGGUUUAAUUCGACGCAACGCGAAGAACCUUACCAAGUCUUGACAUCCUGCGACGAUGCUGGAAACAGUAUUUUCCUUCGGGACGCAGAGACAGGUGGUGCAUGGUUGUCGUCAGCUCGUGUCGUGAGAUGUUGGGUUAAGUCCCGCAACGAGCGCAACCCUUAUGGUCAGUUACUACGCAAGAGGACUCUGGCCGGACUG
RNAcentral lists this ribosomal RNA (687 nucleotides) under Faecalibacterium prausnitzii. RNAcentral describes it as "bacterial SSU rRNA". It matches the Rfam family "Bacterial small subunit ribosomal RNA", at positions 438 to 1151 of the family's 1533-position model. Lineage: Bacteria; Bacillati; Bacillota; Clostridia; Eubacteriales; Oscillospiraceae. The record is from RNAcentral.